AAGAGAGGCUCGACAGCAAUGAAGACUGCUAAUCUUCUCCCCCUUGGUUAAACUCCAAGGCUCACUUA
This 68-nucleotide transfer RNA is filed under the name Eleutheronema tetradactylum (Indian salmon). RNAcentral describes it as "tRNA-Ser". The record is from RNAcentral. Lineage: Eukaryota; Metazoa; Chordata; Actinopteri; Polynemidae. RNAcentral also lists the same sequence under 1 other name.